CCUACGGGUGGCAGCAGUGAGGAAUAUUGGUCAAUGGACGAGAGUCUGAACCAGCCAAGUAGCGUGAAGGAUGACUGCCCUAUGGGUUGUAAACUUCUUUUAUAUGGGAAUAAAAUGUUCCACGUGUGGGAUUUUGUAUGUACCAUAUGAAUAAGGAUCGGCUAACUCCGUGCCAGCAGCCGCGGUAAUACGGAGGAUCCGAGCGUUAUCCGGAUUUAUUGGGUUUAAAGGGAGCGUAGGUGGAUUGUUAAGUCAGUUGUGAAAGUUUGCGGCUCAACCGUAAAAUUGCAGUUGAAACUGGCAGUCUUGAGUACAGUAGAGGUGGGCGGAAUUCGUGGUGUAGCGGUGAAAUGCUUAGAUAUCACGAAGAACUCCGAUUGCGAAGGCAGUUCACUGGACUGCAACUGACACUGAGGAUCGAAAGUGUGGGUAUCAAACAGGAUUAGAUACCCUUGUAGUC
This 460-nucleotide ribosomal RNA is filed under the name uncultured bacterium. RNAcentral describes it as "partial 16S ribosomal RNA". It matches the Rfam family "Bacterial small subunit ribosomal RNA", at positions 338 to 795 of the family's 1533-position model. The record is from RNAcentral.